RNAcentral lists this ribosomal RNA (698 nucleotides) under Acinetobacter sp. JA29-2. RNAcentral's name for it is "bacterial SSU rRNA". It matches the Rfam family "Bacterial small subunit ribosomal RNA", at positions 86 to 779 of the family's 1533-position model. The record is from RNAcentral. Lineage: Bacteria; Pseudomonadati; Pseudomonadota; Gammaproteobacteria; Moraxellales; Moraxellaceae.
CCUGACCUAGCGGCGGACGGGUGAGUAAUGCUUAGGAAUCUGCCUAUUAGUGGGGGACAACAUUCCGAAAGGAAUGCUAAUACCGCAUACGCCCUACGGGGGAAAGCAGGGGAUCUUCGGACCUUGCGCUAAUAGAUGAGCCUAAGUCAGAUUAGCUAGUUGGUGGGGUAAAGGCCUACCAAGGCGACGAUCUGUAGCGGGUCUGAGAGGAUGAUCCGCCACACUGGGACUGAGACACGGCCCAGACUCCUACGGGAGGCAGCAGUGGGGAAUAUUGGACAAUGGGCGCAAGCCUGAUCCAGCCAUGCCGCGUGUGUGAAGAAGGCCUUUUGGUUGUAAAGCACUUUAAGCGAGGAGGAGGCUACUGAGAUUAAUACUCUAGGAUAGUGGACGUUACUCGCAGAAUAAGCACCGGCUAACUCUGUGCCAGCAGCCGCGGUAAUACAGAGGGUGCGAGCGUUAAUCGGAUUUACUGGGCGUAAAGCGUGCGUAGGCGGCUUUUUAAGUCGGAUGUGAAAUCCCUGAGCUUAACUUAGGAAUUGCAUUCGAUACUGGGAAGCUAGAGUAUGGGAGAGGAUGGUAGCAUUCCAGGUGUAGCGGUGAAAUGCGUAGAGAUCUGGAGGAAUACCGAUGGCGAAGGCAGCCAUCUGGCCUAAUACUGACGCUGAGGUACGAAAGCAUGGGGAGCAAACAGGAUU